Molecule: long non-coding RNA, 683 nt
Filed under: Dromaius novaehollandiae (emu)
Lineage: Eukaryota; Metazoa; Chordata; Aves; Casuariiformes; Dromaiidae
Description: lncRNA (ENSDNVG00000011535.1)
Source: RNAcentral
CCGGCAGCCGCGGUGCAGCGGCCUCUCCCMCGAUACCUUCCCGGUCGCAUUUUCUUUGCCAGUGCCGUAAGAUCUGUGGCCGGACAUCACCAGUUUCCUAUUUUUACUCCCCACGCAUAAGCAAAGCUACAGCAAGCACUUCCUUACUUCAGGGGAAGGUUGCGAGGAGGCAGCUUCCAUUGCACCAUUUUCUUAGCARAAGAAGUUACGAUCUUCAGGCAAAAGCUUCUUUCAGGCUUGUCAGCCAUAGUCCAGAUAUCCUGGCUUGCAUCAGCUUGUUUCACAACAUCAACGUCUUUGGAGGCUGGAUUUCUAAAGGAUGCAACAAGUGCUUCUGCAAAGAAGCAAAUUUCAUCUAUCUAACUGCUGAAAGUCACCUUGAGAAUCACAGACUCCCAUUUGUACACUCAAACUGCGACAAUGCAAAUGUUUGCAUGAAUAAAUGUACACCAUGAAACAAUAAGUCAGCUUUACUGCCUCCUUUGGAGCUCAUUUUUAAAAAUUGCUUGUAAAUGACAAGAUCCACAUGAACAAAACAAUCCAUUGGACCUGUACUUCAAAAAGCAUAUAUUCCCAAGCUAAAUAGCUAUUUCAUUAGAUAUACACAGGUAGGCAGGUAUAUGCAUUAGGUUGUGGCCUAGUGAGGAUCUGCCCUGAAGGCAGAUCUCUGUGCCUGUGUGCAG